CUACGGGAUGCAGCAGUAGGGAAUCUUCCGCAAUGGACGAAAGUCUGACGGAGCAACGCCGCGUGAGUGAUGAAGGCUUUCGGGUCGUAAAACUCUGUUGUUAGGGAAGAACAAGUGCUAGUUGAAUAAGCUGGCACUUUGACGGUACCUAACCAGAAAGCCACGGCUAACUACGUGCCAGCAGCCGCGGUAAUACGUAGGUGGCAAGCGUUAUCCGGAAUUAUUGGGCGUAAAGCGCGCGCAGGUGGUUUCUUAAGUCUGAUGUGAAAGCCCACGGCUCAACCGUGGAGGGUCAUUGGAAACUGGGAGACUUGAGUGCAGAAGAGGAAAGUGGAAUUCCAUGUGUAGCGGUGAAAUGCGUAGAGAUAUGGAGGAACACCAGUGGCGAAGGCGACUUUCUGGUCUGUAACUGACACUGAGGCGCGAAAGCGUGGGGAGCAAACAGGAUUAGAUACCCGUGUAGUC
Molecule: ribosomal RNA, 465 nt
Filed under: uncultured bacterium
Lineage: Bacteria
Description: bacterial SSU rRNA
Rfam family: Bacterial small subunit ribosomal RNA
Source: RNAcentral